AGAACGAACGCUGGCGGCAGGCCUCAAACAUGCAAGUCUAGGGGUGUAGCAAUACACACCGGCGGACGGGUGCGUAACACGUGGGAAUGUACUUACUGGUUCGGAACAACUGCGGGAAACUGCAGCUAAUACCGAAUGAGCCCGAAAGGGGAAGAUUUAUCGCCAGUAAAUCAGCCCGCGUUCGAUUAGCUAGUUGGUGAGGUAAUGGCUCACCAAGGCUCCGAUCGAUAGCUGUUCUGAGAGGAAGAUCAGCCACACUGGGACUGAGACACGGCCCAGACUCCUACGGGAGGCAGCAGUUGGGAAUCUUGGACAUGGGGGAAACCCUGAUCCAGCCAUGCCGCGUGAGUGAUGAAGGCCUUCGGGUUGUAAAGCUCUUUUACCCGGGAAGAUAAUGACUGUACCGGGAGAAUAAGCUCCGGCUAACUUCGUGCCAGCAGCCGC
This 444-nucleotide ribosomal RNA is filed under the name uncultured bacterium. Its description in RNAcentral is "SSU rRNA". It matches the Rfam family "Bacterial small subunit ribosomal RNA", at positions 26 to 518 of the family's 1533-position model. The record is from RNAcentral.